Molecule: ribosomal RNA, 505 nt
Filed under: uncultured bacterium
Lineage: Bacteria
Description: partial 16S ribosomal RNA
Rfam family: Bacterial small subunit ribosomal RNA
Source: RNAcentral
GACGAACGCUGGCGGCGUGCCUAAUACAUGCAAGUAGAACGCACAGUUUAUACCGUAGCUUGCUACACCAUAGACUGUGAGUUGCGAACGGGUGAGUAACGCGUAGGUAACCUGCCUGGUAGCGGGGGAUAACUAUUGGAAACGAUAGCUAAUACCGCAUAAUAUUAAUUAUUGCAUGAUAAUUAAUUGAAAGGUGCAAUUGCACCACUACCAGAUGGACCUGCGUUGUAUUAGCUAGUAGGGGAGGUAACGGCUCACCUAGGCGACGAUACAUAGCCGACCUGAGAGGGUGAUCGGCCACACUGGGACUGAGACACGGCCCAGACUCCUACGGGAGGCAGCAGUAGGGAAUCUUCGGCAAUGGACGAAAGUCUGACCGAGCAACGCCGCGUGAGUGAAGAAGGUUUUCGGAUCGUAAAGCUCUGUUGUAAGAGAAGAACGGGUGUGAGAGUGGAAAGUUCACACUGUGACGGUAUCUUACCAGAAAGGGACGGCUAACUACGUG